This 507-nucleotide ribosomal RNA is filed under the name uncultured bacterium. Its description in RNAcentral is "partial 16S ribosomal RNA". It matches the Rfam family "Bacterial small subunit ribosomal RNA", at positions 28 to 507 of the family's 1533-position model. The record is from RNAcentral.
GACGAACGCUGGCGGCGUGCCUAAUACAUGCAAGUCGAACGCAUUUUCUUUCACCGUAGCUUGCUACACCGAAAGAAAAUGAGUGGCGAACGGGUGAGUAACACGUGGGUAACCUGCCCAUCAGCGGGGGAUAACACUUGGAAACAGGUGCUAAUACCGCAUAAUUCCAUUUACCGCAUGGUAAAUGGAUGAAAGGCGCUUUUGCGUCACUGAUGGAUGGACCCGCGGUGCAUUAGCUAGUUGGUGGGGUAACGGCCUACCAAGGCUGCGAUGCAUAGCCGACCUGAGAGGGUGAUCGGCCACACUGGGACUGAGACACGGCCCAGACUCCUACGGGAGGCAGCAGUAGGGAAUCUUCGGCAAUGGACGCAAGUCUGACCGAGCAACGCCGCGUGAGUGAAGAAGGUUUUCGGAUCAUAAAACUCUGUUGUUAGAGAAGAACAAGGAUGAGAGUGGAAAGUUCAUCCCUUGACGGUAUCUAACCAGAAAGCCACGGCUAACUACGUG